UUUUUUUUUCUACACUCACUUUAGAAGUUUCCCUGUUUCAAGCUCAGAUAUAAAUACACCAAUUUCCUUGUCAAAAAUGUUUUUCGCUAACUUACUCGCUUAGAUGAAUCUCAGGACAUGCAUAUACUCUUGGAUUAAAAUUGUCUCAAUUGUUCAAAAUAAGUAUUUAUCAUUUAUUCUGCCUUAUAAUCAUUUUCGUUCUUUCACUUAUUGAACUGAUAACACUGACUUCUUAUAAACAUGCAGAUCAACGCCUUAAUGAUAUCAUUGGUAGUGCCUAUUAUGUUUCACUUGAAGUGCUCCAUAAAUCUUACAGUGUUAAAGGAGACUUAUCGAGCGUUGAAGUUAUAUCGUACAUAUUGUUAUGUGGAAGUAGACCGCUUUGGGCCCGGACUGAAUCAGGAUGGUGACCUUUCAAAACUUGGGCCAGCAGAAAGAUUUUUUUAAAUCAUAGUUCUUGUAAUGUAUUUGUUACAGAUUAGCUACGAUUUUAAUUAUCGAUUAAUUGUGAAUUUUUCUGGAUUCAUGAACAAUGUUGACUUUAAUCAUGUGGUAUGUCAUGUCAGCAUCUUACCACGCUGACAUUGUCAUGUGUAUACCCAGUCAUAAAAAAAAACUUCCAUGUGGCGUGCCACGUUAGCUUUUGUUAACGGACAUUGACAUGAGCGACCAAAAGUGUACAAGGAAAAUAUUAGGAGAAUCAUUCUUUAAAGGGAAUUUUUUGAGUGACUAAAAGUGAAAGUGAAAAUAUCUAUGAGGAUCAAAAACUUAUUUAACCCUUAAAGUUAUACAUAUCAAUUUUGUCGAUUACUUCCAUAAAAUACCAAAAAAGAAAUAGAACUAGAGAAGAUAACUAUGUUUAUUAUUAUUUUGAUAGAUAAAUAGACAAAAUGUUUCUAAAUGGUAAUAAUAUCGUCAACUACUGGACCACCGCUAACCUAAACCGUUGAAUUUCCAAUCACCCCAUAGGAGUUCUGUUGCUGAUUUUCGCUAGUCCAAAAAGUAUGUUUUUUUUUACUUUAUAUUAUUUUAGGUUUAAAGGUAUAUACAAAUGUUCACCUUAACUUUAAAUCGAACAUGAUGCCAAUUAUCCAUCAACCUCAUUUCUACUCUCUCCAAAUUGACUCGUCAUUCAACAAUCUUGAUUAAGUUCAAGUCAGUGUUGAACCUUGACCUUGCCACUUGCACUCAACCACUGUUUCCCACUUAAAUAGUCUAGUAAGUCCACAAGUAUGGUUUUACAAUUUCAUUUGACUCUAUUUACUUUCGAAUGCCUUCUUUGAGGUCUUUGUUGAUGAGUUUUGCAAACCUUCAGCCACAAUAAACCAUAACAAUCAAGAUUAGCAUAAUUGUAUCCUUGAGAUGGUACAAUUUUACUCCUUACGUUAUCACAAGUCUGAUGAUAAUCAGAGGCCAAUGUAAACUUUCUUCAACUGAAACUAGUAUUCCAAGUAUGAACCUUAAGCAAAAAGAGUCUUCUUCGUCAUAGUUUCUAAUAUCUGCACCUCUAGAUCUUUACUACUCCUCUUGUUAUGGGCCUCACUUUGUUUAUGAUAAAUGUUUAUCAUAUAGGUUACACUUUCCACAACUUAUAACCCUCUCCGCCUUUUGAAUAACCAUUGAAGACACACUUCACAACUUUAUCAUCAAGCUGAGCUAUUUUGAUUUUUUGAUUUGUGCAAACGACAAAGCUUUGAAGACCUUCAAAUUAAAAAAGACUACUAAUUUCUCACUCUAAACCUCACUAUAAGCUUGUAAGUCUUCUUAUGCGAAUAUACAUUUUUCGACCAGGUAUUCUACAUUGGUAUCAAUCUUACCCUAGAAUAUAUCUGACAACUCAGCUCUUAACACCAUGCUAGAAGGGGUCAAAUGUGUUUUUAUCCCUCGUCACUUGCAAAACACCAUGAAUCUUGCAAGCCUAAUUGUUAUUGAGUCUAACGAUUACACCCUAUUCCAACUUCAAAGUCUCUAUUCAUUAUUUCCUUGGGCACAUGUGAUAGGAGUAUCCUGAGUGCAAGACCUAACUUUUUUUAGUUACCAAACUUAAACACCAUUAGUAAAUCAACCAUGGACCCGACGAAUCAAGCAUUUGUGGAGCUAUCCAAACAAUCUCUCAAACCUUAGAUUAGACAAAUCAAGUAAUCAUGGUGUGCGUAGGUAUUAACAUAUCACAAUAUCAUGUUUUUCUUUUCAGAAUUUUUCCUAUAACUUAAAAAGAAUAUGUUUAAUCAUUAGGGUUCCAAUUUUUAGAGAGUCUAAGGUGUUUUUUUUGUACCAUAGAGAAGGGAAAACGAAAUCCAUCAUUAGGGAAUCAAUUCUAAUGGUGUAAGGUUUUAUGUUUAAUAUUCUAGUGUCAUGGUCGUGAAUCUCUUAUGAAUUAGAGGGUAGUUCCCUUUAAUUAGGUUUCCUAUAUAUGAUUCUACCCUAAAUAUGAGAUUUAUAUAAUUCUCUAUAAAUGUCGCUGUAAUAAAUUUGUGUUUAUAACUAUAUAACUUUAUUUGAUUUUAAUGCUUUCUUUCAUAUACGAAAUUGAAAGUAUUGAUUUAAUUGGAAAUUGAGACUUAGCAGUCAAUUUCUCAUCAAAAUGGUAAAAUUACGAGAAUGAAGUGAUAGUUCAUAUUGCGACAAGAAUAGUCUCGAUAACCUGUCUAACUUUAUGCACUAUAAAACCUUCGUCAUUGUGAUUUGAAACUCAUAGUAUAUGGAAGGUUGCUUCUGACGAAGUGGGUCACCUUACAAUUGGAGCACUAAAACAAAUAACAUUUUUUGUGACGAAGCUAACACCUCGAACAAUAGAAAAACGAGGGUUUAGGUACUGGGAGCACCAUGUUUCAUUUUUCAAAAAAAAAAACCAUUUACCUCAGUCUUUAAGAAAAGUGAGGGAAUAGAGUUAUAAUGGAGCUUGCUUCGACACUCGGUCUUUGCAUUUUAGGUUUUUUUCCUAGUUGUUUAGUUAGUAUUUCUCACUUGGCGUCUUUCCAAGUUCCGUUUUACUCAUUAUUAUUUAUUACUAUUUUUUAUUAGUAUUUACCUCGGCUACAUGGUCCAACUGAGAGGUAAUAUAUUUUCCAUUAAAUAAUUUCAAAAUACUAUUUUCAAAAUCUUAUUAUAAUUUUUUAUUUGAUAUGUUCAAACCUCUCGGUUAUACAAAAAAAUCGACGUUAUAUAUCUUUUAAUUGAAUUCCCAGAAUAUGGCAUUAUUGUGUUUUUUAUAUUUUAUAUUUUUUAUUAAUAUUGUCACGUCGGGUUUUAUAUAAAAGCUGACGCGACACAUAUAUUACAAGAAAUACUUCAAACUACAAUCUAGUUAAUUUCUAACUUUUCAUUUACCUAUCAACGCUCAAAUGUCAUUUCGUCACUCUCAUUUCGCCAAAAAAAACUAGGCGAUUUUCAAGCUAAUAUUCAUCAAAACUCUUCCAAUAGAUAUUUAUCAAGCGUCAUUUUUACAACAGGUUUGUUCUUCACUGAAACGAGUUACAUAACACUUUGUUUUUCACUUAUUAUUUUGUCUAGGGUUUUACAUUAGUUUUGUCUUUUGAUCAAGGUUCCUCAAUGUAUACCAAGGUGAAAAAGCCCAAGAAACUGGUGUUCGCUAUCCAGUUACAGUUGAUGUUGCAACCGGAAGGGCUUAUGGUGAAUAUGAUGACGAUUUUAUGGGUCACAUUACGUUACAAGGUAUAAGUAAAGUGAGCAUUUUUGAUAGAUAGUUGGUACGAUGUUAAAGAGGUAUUGAAAUACGUCAUACGGGAAGAUGUUCAGAUAUUUUAUGAUUUGUUUGCAAGUAUAUAGAAUUAUUUAUUUUUUAUUUAAUACUAAUAACAUCUCUAAUGUGUAAACAUAUGAUAUGUUCAUUAUUAGUCUAGAUGAUGAUAAUGUGAAAGAGAAGAUGCUUACAUAUUGUGUUGAGCGUUGGAGGGGCUUUAAGACAAAACUCGCCCAUGAUUAUAUUAAACAUGGAGAAGAUAAAUAAAAGUCGCGAUUUGACCGAUCCUGCUCCUGCCACGACAUAUGUAUUCAUUUAUUGAUCAAGAUGUUUGGGAGAAAUUUAUAGAGUCUCGCACCACUCCCGCCUUCUUGGCAAAGAGCCAAAAAGGAAAAGAAAAUUGAGCUAGAAAUAUAUAACCACAUAGAUUGUCUCGUAGAGGAUAUUGAGUGGAAAGAUCAAGCUAUCAAGUGGAACGAUGACUGCCAAGAAGCAUUUGAAAGAAUCAAACAGUAUCUGCAAGAGCCACCAAUAUUGGUACCUCCAGUUCCAGGGAGGCCUCUCAUUAUGUAUUUGAUAGUACUCGAUGAAUCCAUGGGAUGUGUACUGAGGCAGCAUGAUGAGACAUGAAGAAAAUAACAUGCAAUAUAGUACCUAGGCAAGAAAUUUACUUAAUGUGAGACCAGGUACUCCUUGUUAGAGAAAACCUGUUGUGCAUUAGCAUGGGCUUCUCUUCGCCUAAGACAAUACAUGAUUUUCCAUACUACAAUGUUGGUAUUCAAGAUGGAUCAUAUCAAGUACAUUUUGGAGAAACCCGCAUUAACUGGAAGAAUCGCUCGCUGGAAGAUGUUGUCAAAAUACGACAUUUAAUAUAUGACCCAAAAAGAAAUUAAAGUCAGUGUGUUAUCAGAGUACCUCACACAUCGAUCAAUGGAGGACUAUCAAUCAAUGAAACUGAACUUCCCAGAUGAAGAUGUCAUGUACAUAAGAGAUUAUGAGAUUCCCGGCCUAGAAGAAGGACCUAAACCAGGAUCACGAUAAACGCUCGUGUUCGAUGGUGCCUGAAAUGGAUUGAGCAAUGGAAUUGGAGUUUUCAUCACUUCUCCAACAAGUUUUCAUAUUCCUUUCACAACUAGGUUAAGUUUUGACCGCAGUAAUAAUAUGGCAGAGUAUGAAGCAUGUAUCAUGGGAAUUAAAGCAAUAAUUAAUUUGAGAAUAAAAUUCUUAGAAGUGUAUGGAAAUUUGAUGCUAAUUAUCUAUCAGAUCAAGGAAGAUUUGGAGACCUAUCACCAUAAUUUGAUUCCAUACUGAAACCAUGUCUUGAAGUCGAUCCCCUAUUUUGAUGAGAUUACUUUCCAUCACAUUCCUAGGGAGGAGAACCAGCUAGCUAAUGUUUUGGAUACUUUGUCAUCCAUGUUCAAGGUCAAGUGGGCUAAUAAAUUGCCUGCUAUAACAAUUCAACAUCUAGAUGAUCUAUCAUUUUGCUUGGCAGUUGACGUAGAAACUGAUGGCAAGCCUUGGUUUUAUGACAUUAGGCGAUAUCUUGAGAAGAACGAGUAUCCACAAGAUAUCUCCAUCACUGAUAAGAAGACCUUGAGGAAGUUAUCAGCCAAGUUUUUCCUAAGUGGUGAUGUGCUCUAUAAAAUAAAUUUAGACAUGGUUCUGCUCAAAUGCGUGAAUAGAAAAAAAACAUGCCUGCUCAUCAAGGAGAUCCAUGAAGGUUCUAUUGGAAUUCAUGGAAACGGACAUGCAAUGGAAAAUAAUAUCCUUAGAACUGGCUACUAUUGGUUCAUAAUGGAAACAGACUAAUACCACUAUGCCAAGAAGUGCCACAAGUGCCAAAUUUAUGCAGAUAAGGUGUAUGCACCACCCAAUCCUCUAAAUUUCUUGACUAAACCAUGGUCAUUCUUAAUGUGGGGCAUAAAUGUGAUUGGUAUGAUCGAGCCUAAAGCUGCAAAUGGACAUCAUUUUAUUCUGGUUUCCACUUACUAUUUCACCAAGUGGGUGGAAGUUACGUCUUAUGUGAAUGUGACAAAGCAAGUGGUCACCUAUUUUAUCAAAAAAGAAAUAAUUUGUUGCUAUAAGACUCCCAACAAAAUUAUCACUAAUAACGGAUCAAAUAUGAAUAACAAGAUGAUGAAGGACUUAUGUGAGAGCUUCAAGAUUGAACUUCCUAACUCAUCACCUUAUAGACCAAAGAUGAAUGGGUUGUAGAAGCAGCUAACAAGAAUACUAAGAAAAUCAUCCAGAAGAUGGUGAAUACUUACAAGGAUUGGAAUGAGAUGUUUCCUUUUGCUCUGCACGGGUAUAGAACAUUUGUUCGCACUUCAAGAGGGGAAAUCCCUUUCUUUCUAGUAUAUGGCAUGGAGGUUGUGCUACCAAUAGAAUUUGAGAUCCCCUCACUGAGAGUCUUGAUGUAGACUUAAUUAGAAAAGGAGGAAUGGAUUCAAAACAGAUAUGACCAACUCAAUCUAAUUGAAGAAAAGGAAUUACAGUGUUGUGCCACGAUCAGUUGUAUCAGAAAAGGCGCAUGAGGGAAUUUGACAAGAAGGUCCGACUCGAGAGUUUCGAGUAGGUGAGUUAGUGCUGAAAAAUAUGAUUUCCAUCCAAAAGGAUUCACGCAGGAAAUGGAUCCCCAACUAUGAAUGACCACAUGUAGUGAAGAAAGCAUUCUCUGACAAAGCUUUGAUACUGACAAACAUGGAUGGAGAAGAGUUACCACAUCCCGUCAAGUCUUAUGCAGUUAAGAAGUAUUACGCCUAAUAAAAGGAUGGAUAAUAAACGCUCGAUAAUUCAAAAACUUGAAAGGACAUCUUAGGCCAAAAUAAGCAUCCCAGUGAGUUGAAAACCCGCAAGGGAGACUCAGGAAAAAUUUAGGGAUAAACAAAAAAAUUAAGCUCGGUAUGUCGAAAACCCUAAAGGGAGGCUUAAGUAAAAAAGGGUAAGCCUCCCGGUGAACUAAAACUCUAAAGAGCAGUUCUCGCAAAAGUUAGGGAAUAUCCAAAGGCAUAAGACUACAGCACGCGUGCAUGUGUUGCAAUAUAACUCAAAUGGAAGGGUACAGUCCAAUCACCAUCCUCGGAAGCAAAGUAAUGAAGAUUAUAGGACAUAGGGGGAAAUAGAAAAUAUUGUAUUUCGAUGGAAAUUCAGUUAAAAUUUUCAUUUCCAUUUAUUUGCUUUCUUUUUCUGUAAUCUCCUCUUAAAGGAAUUUACAUAUUCAUGUACCUUUAUCCCAUGUAUGAGUUAUUCUUCUUAUCAAAUAAAAUCGUUCAACUGAACAUUUAUUCAUCAAUUGUUUUUUUUCUCUCUGUUUGUUUACAUAAUAUUAUUUUUACUCUUGAUAAAAUAAAAACACUAAAAUAACAAAAGAUUUGAAAACUUUGAAUUAUUUUGAUCUUUGAAAAUGGCAACGGAAUAUUUGUUAACUUAAAAUAGUGCAUCUGAUUCACAACGUGUGAAGAAUCUCGAUGAUCAUCUUAAUGAGCAAAUCAGAAGUCACCAUUCUUCCAGAAACAAGAAUCAGCAAGGAGCCCGACAGUCGGCAAAGCAGAAAUUAGGGUUUUGCAAACCAUAUUCAUGGUAUCAAAAUAGUUCAAGACCAAGGGUUGUUGGAUACAUUAUUUUGUGUAUAUUUGUCUUCGGCCAAGAGCAGUUGAAUCUCAUAUUUGCACAGAUUUGAUUUCGACCAAGAGCAAUUGAAUCUGAUUGUUUCAGCCAAAAGUAGUUGGAUGUGUUGUUUCUAUCCAAGAGUGGCUAGACGCAAUAGCUCCAACCAAGAAUAGUUGGAUACGGUCAGUUUCAUCCAAGAGCGGUUGAAUAUGACAUUUCAGCCAAGAGCAGCUGGAUGUGAUCAUUUCUUUCCUAAGAGAGUCUGCUUCCAGCGAAGAACGUUUGAAAAAUAGUAGAACAAUAUAAUAUGCAGUUCCCAUCCCCUGCAGAGUUGUAUAGAUGAUUCUAUUAUCAUCCAAUAAUAGUUGAACAUGGAUUUCCAAUCCCCAUAGAGAUCCACCAACAAAAAAAGAGUAUCACAUCCAUAGAAAUCAUUGCAUUUACAUAUCGUUGCAUUUCAUUCACAUUCAUCUGUGAUUAAUAAAUCAAGAUUAUUUUCUAGUCCCGGUACAUACUGAUCAUAUUCAUAUGAUGAUUGAAAAGUCAAGAGUAUUUCUUAAUAUCUUUGUAUCCAUUCAUUCAUCGGGAGAUUAUGAAGUCAAGAGUAUUUCUUAAUCCUAGUACAUGCAUCUAUCAUACUCGCUUGAUGAUUAAGAGAUCAAGGGUAUUGCUUAAUCUCAGUGUAUUUACUCAUAAUCAUAAGUAUAUCAUUCUAUUGCAUAAAAAGGUAAAAAUUUGGUUUUGUUUUAUAUUUAAACUUUCUUUCACUAUGAAUAUUUAAAGACAAGAGUUCUCCAUAUCCUCUAGUUAAAGAAACUUAAACAGGGUAGGUUGUCACAUCCUAAUUUUCACCCUAAUAUUUUCAUUACUUCAUUCAAAUUGCAUUCAUACUUACUGUUUACCAGUGAUUUCUGAUAAACAACCGCUAGUCUUCCAAAUUUAUAUAUUUUUGGUAACUCACAGGAUCGACUAGAUUGAUCCUAGGAUAUGUGUCUCAAGAACUGUUAUUACGGUGAUUUGACUCAUGGUUAAGUUUGUUUCUAAUUUGUGGACGACGAAAAGUGUUUUGACAAUAAUUCUGAACGAAACAUAUGACUUUAUGAACAAAGUAAAUGACAAUAACUUUAUACCAAAAGGUUUCUUAAAGAUAACGAAAAUACUUGGGAAGGGUAAAGAUAAAUGACUCGAAGUAAAUGCUUUAAGUUUUCAGAUUUCAUGGCUUCUAGCCACUUCUCAGACUCGGGACCAGUUAUGGCCUCUUGGUAUGUCACAGGCUCAUCUUGAUCCAUGAGUAAUACAUCACCUUGAUCAGUUAUAAGAUAUCCAUAUCUCUCAGGUAUGUGACGUAUCCUGCUUGACCUACGUUGGUCUUAUUCUACUUGAGCAGGUUGCUCUUCCACAACUACUUGUGUUUCCUGCUCUAAUUCCUCCAUAGGUGUAUCUAUGCUUUGUGAUUCUUGAAUUUCUUCAAGCUCUACUAUCCUCCCACUGAUUCCUUUGGAAAUAAAAUCCUUUUCUAGGAAAACUCCAGUUCGAGCGACAAACACUUUGCCCUUAGAAGGAUUGUAGAAGUAAUACCCUCUUGUUUCUUUAGGAUUCCCCACAAAUAAGCAUUUGUCAGAUUUGGGCUCAAGCUUAGUUGAAAUUUGUUGUUUCACAUAAACUUCGCAACCCCAAAUCUUCAUGUAAGACAUAUGUGGUUUCUUACCACUCCAUAUCUCAUAUGGUUUCUUCUCAACCUUUUGGAGGAACACGGUUAAGUUGCAGUUUGUUAUCAAUAGUGCAUUGUCCCAAGAAGGACGUUUUGGAGAUCGACCGUGACUCAUCAUGGAUCGACAAUUGUCUAACAGGUUGAUUUCUUCUCUCAGAUCUACCAUCCACUUAGGGUGUCCAGGGAGGAGUAAGUUGGGAUAGGAUCCCACCUUUUCAGUAUGGUCAUCAAAUCUAGCUUAACAUACUCACCACCUCGUCUGCAUCAAAGAGUUUUAUAUUCUUACUAGUUGUUUGUACUUCAUUUUGAAUUCCUUGAACUUUUCAAAGGACUCUGAUUUGUGUUUCAUUAAUACACAUAACCAUAUUCUACUGAAAUAUCAGUAAAUGAUGAGUUGAAAAACCUCCUUUGGCUGGUUAUGUUCAUGGUCCACAUAUACAUCGUAUUGUAGGCCAGGGCCAAAGUUUAGCUCUUUCACGCUUUUCGCUGUGAUGGAGAACUUUGUCAUCUUUCCAAUUAAACAGAUUUGCAUGUCUCAUAUUGAUUUCGUAUAAUCGAAAGAGUUCGCAACAGUCCAUCUUUGUAUGGAGUUUGAAAUCGUUUCUCAUUUAAUGUGGCCCUAAUUGACAAUGCCAAAGGUAGUUGGAUUUAACUCAAUUAGGUUAUCAUCUUUUAGUAUUAAUGUUAAAUAGGCAUUUUAAGAUCAAGGACAUAUAUCCAAUUGUUCAUGUUGUGCAGUAGCAUAGAAUAUAUCAUUCAAUAAAUUGACAACAAUUGUUUCUUUAUUAUAAAUGAAAAACAAACUUGUCCAACAAUGAAACGACGAAAUAAUAUUCCUGCUAAUUGCAGGUACAUAAUAACAGUUCUCUAACUGAAUUAUUAAACCACUAGGUAAAGUCAAUACAUAAGUUCCUACGGAUAAAGCAACAACCUUUGCUCCAUUGCCAACUCGUAGGUCAACUUCACCUUUUGCCAAAUCUCUACUCCUUUUUAGCCCCUGUACAUUGGUACAAAUGUAAGAACCGCAUCCAGUAUCUAAUACCCAUGAUGCAGAAGUAGAUAAAUUAAUUUCAAUAACAAAAAUACCUGAAUUUGAAGUCUCUACUCCAUUCUUCUUAUCUUCCAAAUACUUUGGGCAGUUUCUCUUCCAGUGUCAGGUCUUACCGCAAUGGAAGCAGGUGCCUUCCUUUGUUAUGCCUCCACUAGGCUUCAAAGCAGCAACAAUGGGUUUGGGUUUGGAAACUUCCUUGCCUUUCCCUCUAUCACCCUGCUUGGUGGGUCUUUUGUUUUGUCUCUUUCCAUUUCCGAUCUUCAGAAUGGACUUCCCUUUUGACUUCAGAUUUUCUGCUCAGCAGUUCUUAACAUGACUAGCAGUCCAGGAAGAGAUUUUUACAUCUCAUUCAUAUUGAAAUUUAGGACAAAUUGACUGAAUCUAUCUGAAAAUAAUUGCAAGAUCAAAUCAGUCGCAAGUUCCUUUCCGAGGGGAAAACCCAACCUCUCAAGGUUUUCCACAUACCCAAUCAUCUUGAGCACAUGGGGACCUACAGAGGCUCCCUCAACUAACUUGCCUUGAAAAAAGGCUUUUGAAACUUCAAAACUUUCAUGUCUUGCUUGCUCUUGAUAGAGCAUCUUCAGGUGUUCGAUCAUAUCGAACGCUGCCAUGUUCUCAUGUUGCUUUUGCAACUCUGAGUUCAUGGUAGCUAGCAUGAGACAAGCAGUUUCAUUGGUAUCAUAUUUCAUGCCUUGCUUGCUCUUGAUAGAACAUCUUCAGGUGUUCGAUCAUAUCGAACGCUGCCAUGUUCUCAUGUUGCUUUUGCAACUCUGAGUUCAUGGUAGCUAGCAUGAGACAAGCAGUUUCAUUUGCAUCAUCGACAUGCUUCUUAUAAGCAUCUCUUUCUGCCUUAGGUGCAGAACUAGGAGGUUCUUCUUCAGGAACAGGUUUCUCCAAGACAUACAGCUUUUUAUCAUGUUUGAGGACAAUCCUCAGAUUUCGGUGCCAAUCCAGAAAAUUUGUCCCACAAUUUUUCCUUGUCAAGGAUUGAUCGCAAAAUGUUGUUAGAGGUGUUUAUUGUCAUGGUAAUCUACAUGAAAAUAAUGAAAAUAUAAGUAUCAAUAACAUAUUUAAUUAGGCCUUUAAUUAAAUAUGCCCCCACUAUUUUACUCAAAACAAAUGACCCUCAUCAUUUGAUUCGGAAAAUCCCGUUGGAAGAUUUUCUAGUGGGUCGAGAUCCACAUUUCACUUUGUUUUAAGUCCGCGUAGGCGGAUUACACAAGACUAGGUUAUUUAGGUAGGAACUCCUUCCAAUUGUAUCUAAUACAACUCUCGAAUAUUUAAGUAUCAAUAACAUAUUUAAUUAGGCCUUUAAUUAAAUAUGCUCCCACUAUUUUACUCAAAACAAAUGACCCUCACCAUUUGAUUCGGAAAAUCCCGUUGGAAGAUUUUCUAAUGGGUCGAGAUCCAUAUUUCACUUUGUUUUAAGUCCGCGUAGGCGGAUUACAUAAAACUAGGCUAUUUAGGUAGGAACUCCUUCCAAUUGUUUCUAAUACAACUCUCGAAUAUUUUAGUUGGGUGAAUAACUCCUUAUUCCAAUCCAUCACAUGGAUCAUUUCCAACUCUUGCUUCUAAACAUAUAUAAUCUUAUUAUAAUUUGAUUAGUUAAGUUUGACCCAUUGUUUUAACAAUUGGAUAUUACAAUUAUCCCAUCGCACCUUAUUAAUAUAGAACAUGCACCUCGCGUAGGCGAAACCUACAUUAUCCGAUACUAGUCUUGAUGAGUGCUAAAACUUGGAAAGCCUAAACUUAAUAUUUAAUUUGAGGGAAUUUACAAUUAUUCUGAUCUCACCGGCUUAUUUAUCAUAUAAAUCGUCUCUCACAUGCAUCAACAUACAUUCACAUGCAUCAACAUACAUUCACAUGCAUCAACAUACAUACACAUGCAUCAACAAACAUACAUAAUGAAACAGUUAUGGCCCCUAGCGCAAUUGUUCUCCCAAGCCAAUGAGAGAACCUAAGCUAACCUAAUAACAAUAUAAGCUUCUCCAAGCAAGAUCUUCAAGGUUGUCCUCCUUUGAUAUUGACUUCUUCUCUUUCUUCAUAACAUUACAUUACAUAAAAGAAACUUGUUUUACAUACGAGGGAGUGAGAUGAGAAAAGAAGUUACAUUAUGAGAUUAAAAGAGAGGCACGACACGCAGGUCGUAUUUUAAAAACCCAAAACAAAUUAAAGGAAAACUAAGGCCAUAACCGAUCACCACAAGACAAUAAUAACAAAAACAUUAUUAUUAUUAAUUUUAAUUCUUUUAAUUAAUUAAAACCAAAUUAAAUUUCGGAGACCGAUCACACUACGCAGAGUUAGUCGGGGGUCCGCUGCCCGGGCCGUAAAUUUUAAUGAACAAUUCAUUUAAAAUUGACGUCAUUUUUCGCAUCAACACUUGAUACUUUAAAGCACAACUCUUGUGUCGUCAUUAACCCUAAUCGCAUAACUUUUUGACAACACAACCCUUGUGCCAUCAUUAACCCUAAUGUAUAACACAACCUUUGUGCCGUCAUUAACCCUAAUGCAUAACUCUUUGACAACACAACCCUUGUGCCGUCAUUAACCCUAAUGCACCAAUUUCAGACCGUCAAACACAUCUCGAUUGUUGAUUCAGUAUGAUUGAUCAACACGUCAUUGCUUCACCAUACUAAUGUCGGAUCAAGAAGCAAACGACCAUUGAUCGCUCAAAGGAAAACAACCAUUAAGUAUUUGAAUGAAUUAAACAGAAACAAUAUAUCAUAUAUACCGUAUUUUGCAUAAGGAUUACUUAUAUCAUAUAUAUAACUUGAUCGAUCUAAAUUUAAUUACUCGUUUAUUCUUUGAUUAAUUUUGUCUUUUAAUCGUAUUAAUACAAAAAAUAAACAGCUAUCAGAUGCAUGGUUUCAUAAGUGGCUCUGAUACCACUGAAGGAGAAGGACGAUCCAAAACGCAGCGGAAUUUAAAAUUUCUCCUUUAAUGAUCCUUACGAAUGGGCAUGAUCAGUGAUAGAAUCGUUACCUCUUGUGGCGAUCACGGACGUUGAACGAUGACAAUGCCUCUACUUAGUCCACACGAACGAAUUCCUUCAAUCUCAGUGCUAGCUGCUACAAAUGAAGGCUUUGAGUGAGUGAGAGAGAGAGAGAGAGAGAGAGAGAGAGAGAGAGAGAAACGAAAUUGCAAAUGUGACAAUGUUUCUACACAAGGGUUCUAUUUAUAGAACCAUUUGUGUGGGCUGCAAAAUAAAAAAAGCCCACUCAAGUGUAUAUGGCCUAUAUCUUAUAAUAUGCCAAAGUCACUUAAGCGCGUGGUACCUUACCAUAUUUCGUAUUCUACUUAAGUACACCGUAUCUUACGAUGUUCUAUAAUUCACUUAAGGGCACCGUACAUUACGGUAUUCCUUAAUUACUAUAUCUCUCAUCAAUCCGUCCUUUGUGUGUGACCCUAUAGGUUUUCGCAGCAUUGGCAAUUAUAUUAAAUCACGUAUUUAACAUAAUAAACAGUGAGCGGUAUCUAGCAACACACCACUGCUACCCAAGACACGAAAAUGUCAUGUGAUCUGACAAAUCCUUAUGUGAUAAUAAUUAUGUGUAUAAUCAUCCUUUUGCCCUUAUGUCUAUAUUGAACACAAGGCAUAGACUGUGUCAUCCUUGUCUAGUUCAAUAUUGGGCCCAUAGACAUUUAUCCUGUUACGCAGGAUGGGAAAAUUCCAUCUAGGUCACUCAUGUCCUUUAGCAUGCUUCGUGGAGUACCCAUCAACUGUCUUUAUGGUCAUCCAAUUACGGACAACGUUUGAUCAACAAUAAGGCACUCGACUCUACAUCUAGGGUCCAUAGUGGUUUCAGGUCGAAGGGUGGUAUACACAUUAUCACCAUGAGAAUAACUUAUGACAUUUGCAUGCAUUCUAUAUAGUAUUCUCAUAGCGGGUCAAUCCAGUAUAAUAUUACCUUAAUAUUCAUACCUAUGUUUAAGACUUGAUAACUCUUUAUCCAUGAUCCAUGAGAUGUGAUCAUCAGUCUAUAAAAUAAUAGUCUUCAUGCUUUAAUGUUAUCUCACUUCACAAUAAAGCUUGACUACGGAUACUUUAAGAAUAUUGUCCUUAUGUUUAAGUGAUCUAUGAUUAAGUCAUACUUGAUACAUUAACGGACUAGCUAUUCUAGGGACUUUAUUAAACAAACAUAAUAAAGAAAAAGCCUUUUAUUAUUAAUAAAUAAUUCGAUACAAGUACCAAAAGUAUUGACCUCUAGGGCUUACACCAACACAUUUGUACUCCUUCGUCAGUUGCUUGAUUACUAAUUCUGAGUCUCCUUUAAUUUCGACCCUAGUUGCCCCCAAUUCCAACAAAGCCUCAAGUCCUGCAAUAAGGGCUUUAUAUUCUGCUUCGUUGUUAGAACAAAGGGGACCUUCAAUUAUAUAUUUGAGUUUUGUUGGAAUUUCGUUAGGAGAAAUUAACAUUAUCCCAACCCCACUUCCAUCCUUAUGAGUGGAACCGUCGAAGAAUAAUUUCCAAGGUUUCAACUCAACUUGAAGUUGAGGAUUUUCGACCACUGCAUGGCCUACAAUAAAGUCUGAUACUAUUUGUCCCUUCAUUUCCCUUAAAGGCAUAAAGGUUAAAGAGUAUUCAGUGAGUGCUAAAGCCCAUUUGCCAAUUCGACUGCGCAUUAUUGGCUUAGAUAACAUAUACUUGAUGACAUCAAAAUGUGAAGAGACGUAUAAAUCAACAGGUUUUAUAUAAUACUUGAGUUUAGUACAAGAGAAAUGCAAACAAAGACACAACUUUUCUAUUGAAGUGUAUCUAGUUUCUGCAUCAUUUAAAACCCUACUAAGAUAAUAAAUGGCUUUUUCGACGCCAUCUCCAUUCUCUUGCGCCAACAUGCUAACUAUGGUAGUGUCGGAAGCUGAUAUAUACAGUCUCAUAGGCUUCUUUCCACAUGGUGGUGCCAAGAUAGGAGGAUUCGUCAAAUAAUGUUUGAUCUUGUCGAAUGCCUUUUAAUGUUCGUCAUUCCAUUUGAACUUCCCUUGUUUCAGGCGCAGAAGGGGAGAGAAGUCUUGAGUUCGACCACUUAAAUUCGAAAUGAAUCUUCUUAGGAAGUUUAUCUUUCCUAAUAAUGAUUGCAGUUCUUUCUUGGUUGAUGGUGCUUUGGUUUCCAUAAUAGCCUUCGUCUUGUUCUGAUUAAUUUCUAUCCCCUUUUUGUGGACCACAAAGCCCAGAAAAUCUCCAGUCAUCACAAAGAAUGCACACUUAAGAGGAUUCAUUUUUAAGCCAUGUUUUCUCAUUCUUUAGAAUGAUUGGCUGAGAUGGGUUAGAUGAUCUUCAUCUGACGUAAAUUUUAUCACAAUGUCAUCUAUGUAUACUUGCAUAAAUGUCUCUAUAUAAUCAUGGAAUAUAGAAUUCAUUGCUUGCUGGUACGUUGCCCCAACGUUUUUUAGGCCAAAAGGCAUAACUAUCCACUCAUAAGUGCCUAUUGCCCCUGAACAUCGAAAAGCUGUUUUAGAUACAUCUUCUUCUGCAAUGAAAAUCUGGUUAUAGCCAGAAUAUCCAUCAAGCAUGUUGAGAUAUUCAUAGCCUACGGCUGAGUCAACCAGCAUCUCUGCCACAGGCAUUGGAUACUCAUCUUUAGGAGUUACUGCAUUUAGAUCACAAAAAUCUAUACAUACUCGCAAAGAGCCAUUUUUCUUGAUAAUAGGGACUAUAUUUGCAAUCCAAUCGACAUACCUUGUGGUCCUGAUGAAAUUGCAACGGAGAAGUCUUUCGACCUCUUUUUUUAUCUUUGAGAGGAUUUCUGGGGCGAAUCUUCUUGGAGUCUGCUUGAUGGGCUUCUUGCCAUCCUUGAUAGGCAGCUUUAAUUCGACCAAGUCCCUCUUCAAACAGGCGAAUCUUCUUGGAGUCUGCUUGAUGGGCUUCUUGCCAUCCUUGAUAGGCAGCUUUAAUUCGACCAAGUCCCUCUUCAAACCAGGCAUCUCGUCGUAAUCCCAAGCGAAGCAAUCUUUGUUUUUCCUUAGAAAUUCAAUAACUCUCACUUUCAACUUGGGGUCCAGUUUAGCGCUGAUGUAGGUAAUUCUUUUUGCACUUCCAUUUCCGAGAUCAAUCUCUUCGAGACGAUCUUGCGCUAACAUCUUUGCACUUGACGUUACUGGAUCUUUUUCAAAUCCCAAAGGCUCUUCGUCGUAGAUGGCGUCUAACCUCUGUUCUGUUGGUCCCACAGGUACUUGUUCGUCGGGGAGUUUUGGUUUAGAGAACUCCCCCGGUCCUGUAUUAUAGAUUUCAUCAUAUGUGACUUUGUUAGCCAUGUUUGUUAUCUCGGCUUUGAAAGCCGCUUGUCUUUUGUUCUCAUCCAUGUAGGCCGAAAUCUUUUCGAGGAAAGAAGACUCAGUCAUAGUACGGGUCUUCAUCCUAGCCCGUUGGUCGUAUUUCAGAUGAUUCCCCUUCUUCUAGGUCUUCCAUAAUCUCCAUGUCCCACUGAAAGCCAUUUGGGUGGAGAUUCAAGAAGUACAAGGAAUUUUAAUUGGGGCGUAGCCUUCUUUUGCUGGGUAACAUGGUCCUAUGUGCGUCAAGUUCCUGUUGAAGUUUCUUUUGUCCACAUGGUUUACUUCUGCCAUGAAGUAACUUUGGUCAGCUUCGACAUUCUCUACCACGCCAUCUUCUCUCCAAAUAGAUAUUCUUUGAUGCAUGGUCGAAGGGACCGUCCCUAUUCCAUGUACCCAUUAUCUCCCUAGUAGUAAGUUAUAAUUUGCUUUUGCAGGUAUUACCAUAAACAUCGUUGGUCCUGUGAUUGACCCAACAGUCAGGUCCACUUGUAUGACGCCCAGCGUCUGUCCUAUCUUACCUUCAUAAUUUGACAAUACCAUGUUGUGAGGUUUGACAUCAGUGUCGAACAUCCCUAUCUUUUUCAACAUGAAUUGGGGCAUCAAAUUGACUAUUGCUCCUCCGUCGACCAAGACUUUAUUCACUCCCACAUGUCCAACUUUGGCCCUAAUGUAUAGGGGCUUAAGGUGACUCUGCAUCCCCUGGUGAGGCCUUUCGAAAAUAGCGUUCUGCUCUUCGACAGCACCACUGUUCAGAACAUAGUAACACACUGGUUGAUGCUUCGCCAUCUCCGCAUCGUCCGCUUCCUCAUUAUCUUCAACCUCUGUUUCCUGGUUAUACUCGUACGGCAGGACUGAGACUAUGUUGCAAUUCAUAUUCACAGAAGACACUCCGUCGGACUCGAAGUUGUCUGUGAGAAUUUCCUCUUCUCUUACUUGUUCCUUUUGAACCUUCUGACUUAUGUUUUCAUCUGGAAAUAACUUCCUUCCUACGGGUGGUUUGGUCGAAUCCAUGAUAUUUGGGGGAACCUUGACGCUGCUGGAUUCUCCAGUCUCUUUUAGAUUCAUCUCUCUUUCUACUUUCCUCAUCCUCUGAUGUCUUCUCCAUUGGGAUCUUGACAUAGGUUUUUUUCCUUUAUAAUUUUCUAGCCUAAUAGCCUCUCUCCUAGACGCCUGAAAUUGUUUUCUGUACGCCUAAGAGGUUCUUCCUCCAUCUUCGAAACUUCUCCACUUUCCUUUCUUUGGUCCCGCCUGAUUCCAUUUGUCCUCAGGGACUUCUGUUGGCAAUUUAAACAUCUCCAGAGAUAUUCACGUAGGCUUUUGUUGGCUUUGGGAUAGCCAAACUUCAUCCCUUCUUGCUCCAUCUUCAAACAUUCCUCCACUUCCUCCAUUUCUGGGAGGGGGGUUGCUUCAGAUCCACCAUCAGUGAUUGAAAUUGCCUCGAACUUCUUUCUUAGGCCCUCAGUAGCCUCGGUUGCUUUCCCCUUGAGACCUUCAGUGGCCCUUGGUUCGACGUUAGCAACCUGUUUACAUUUGAUAGAGAUUCCAAAGGAAACAUCAUUACUUAGGCCAUCAGUAGCCUGCUUUCCAUCCAACGUAUAACCUCCAGUUCCUGUUGCUUUUACAGCAUCCAUUUCCCCUACGUUAACCAUAUUGAUUUCGACAGGUUCAUCGUAGUUUGUCUCAGCAAUGUUGAGGGGAUCAGUAUCAACUUUCAUCUGGUUUUUCCCUUUGUCAGCGAACUUGAGGCGACCAUCCCUGAUUGCAUUCUGAAUAAGAUCCCUGAAAAGAAAGCAUUGUGAAGUUUUAUGGCCUAAAAAAUUAUGAUAUUUACAUAAGCCUCUUUUCUUUCGUUGUUCUAACGGAGGAAUUUUGGUAUUAGGAGGCACUAUCAUUUGGCCAUCUUUUACUAAUAAAUCAAAGAUCUCGUCACAUUUGGUAACAUCAAAUGUGUAAGUCUUUUUGGGAAAUCUAUCAUUCUUUUCGGUUUCGACAGGGUUUCUGCCGUUCGAAGGUGUAAGUAAUUUGCAGGCAUAUGGUGGUGCUUCUUUUAAUUCUGCCGAAUCUACUUCGAAUUCCUCAAGACCAUAAGGGUCUUCAACGAUUUCAGACUCUCCGUCUUCGAAUUCGACAUAAGACCUGUCGAACCCUAUCUGCUAAUUGGGCCAUGUCUCUUAGAUGUUGGGUAUCUAACUUUUUCCUGAUGGAAUAGUCUAAACCUCCAGCGGCCAUUUCGACCAACUCGUGUUCAAGCACUAUUGUAAAGCAUCUAGAUUUCAACAAACGGAACCUAUUCAGAUAAUCAUCUAUAGGUUCGGUGAAUUUUCUUUUGAUGAUGACUAAUUCCUUAAGACUUAUCUUAGUUUGGCCCAUGUAGAAUUGUUCAUGAAACAAUCUUUCUAACUGGGGCCAAGCAUCUAUGGAAUUUGGUGGCAAAUUUGUAAACCACAUGAAGGCGUUCUUUGUUAAAGAACUAGGGAAAUAUUUCAUCCUUAAGUUCUCACUGUUCGCCAAAUCCCCUGCCUCAGUCAUGUAUUUGGUUAUGUGCUCUAUAGUGGAUUCACUAGUGUCCCCUGAGAAUUUGGUGAACAUAGGGAUUUUACAACCCCUUGGUAAUUCUGUUUGCAAGACAUAUUCUGAUAAAGGAGUAAAAUAAUUUGGUCGUCGAAGUCCUGUAUUCAGACCAUUCUGGGCCAUGAUUCUCUCUAUCAUACUGGUUAAGUCAUUUUCCAUCAUGUUUUCCCGCCUGACCCUAUGAAUUACUUCGUCUGCAUCCUGGUCUCUAUUAACCAUUAUCACUCUCCUAGGUUGUUCUUCAGGGACUUCCCGUCGAAUUGGCUGUUGUUCCAAUCUUGCCCUCAUGACUCUUUCGUCAGGGGCUUGCCUUUGUGGUCGAACCUGAUCUAUCGUUGGUUCUUCUCCCUAGAUUAUAACCUAGUUUGGCCUGCGUCGAACAACAGAUUGUGGGCGCCUAGGAAAUUUUCUAUGUGUCCCAUCUGCGCUGACAGUUGUUCGUAUGUUUGGGCAUUGUCAGUGUUAGUCCUAUUCACAUUCUGUAUUAAGGGAGAAAAAAUGGUAUUCAUUUCUCUGCCCAGAACUCCUACCAUAUCAUGGUUACUAGCAUCCAUUUGUUGUCUAAAGGCUGCCUGAUUAUUCAUUGUAAAGGUAGGUAAUAGGGUGAGGACUCCUUGUGAUUGGUUAUUUCGACCUACAUGGUUCAUGCCAGAUCCAAAAUUUUGGAUUGGUGAAAUAACCGUAUUAUGUGGUUAAGUAUAUAUGGAAGAAUUGUUUUGAAGUCCUGCCAUGGCAGUAGAUGGCAUUCCAUAUGGGUAGUCUCUCACAGGCCUAAAGUUCUUGAAUCCUGGUGGCCUAGGGGUUGAAACUGCAGGAGUAUCUGCCGCGCCUGACAUGAUAGGCAUUGCUGUCGAAUUAUGCAAGGCCAUGGGUCCAGACGUUGGUAUGGUCUAUGCAUUAGGGAUCUUAGUGGAUACAUCAAUCAAAUUUGCUCUGAUUGUGCCUGUCCCCUGGGGAGGGAAUUGUUCCCCUUGACUGGUUGUAUUAACCAUCUUUUUUGCAUUUUUUCUGUUAGUUAUAGGUUGUGAAUUGUUGGCUAUCCUACCACUUCUAAGGAUCAUACAACACUACUUUUAAAACCAAAAGAAUAACAACAAUUUUGCGAAUUGUAAAACAAACUAUUGAAAUCAACAAUUCUUUUGACACUGUCCCGCCGAGUAUGCCAAUUUGUUUACCAGUGAUUUCUGAUAAACAACCGCUAGUCUUCCAAAUUUAUAUAUUUUUGGUAACUCACAGGAUCGACUAGAUUGAUCCUAGGACAUGUGUCUCAAGAACUAUUAUUACGAUGAUUUGACUCAUGGCUAAGUUUGUUUCUAAUUUGUGGACGACGAAAAGUGUUUUGACAACAAUCUUGAACGAAACAUAUGACACUAUGAACAAAGUAAAUGACAAUAACUUUAUAGUAAAAGGUUUCUUAAAGAUAACAAAAAUACUUGGGAAGGGUAAAGAUAAAUGACUCGAAGUAAAUGCUUUAAGUUUUGAGAAAGUACUGGAAAUGAAGACUUGGCGAAAUGUAAAUACAAUAGUAAAAGUGAUGAUAAACUACUAAAAAUAAGGGCAAUUCGACAGAAUAAAAGGCAGUGAAUAACUUUAAUUUAAAUAAUUGAUAUGAAAAAGAUAACAUGAACGAAACUUAUGGUGUUCUUCAUACAUACAUUUUCAGUGUAAAACUCUUUUCUCUCGCUCUGGUACUUCGAGUGUAUUUUGUGAAUUUCUGUAUAUAUGUUUGAACACCCCUUGAAUCUAAAACUAAGACCCCUAUUUAUAGCAAUUCGACCCUAACGGCCUUUACACCUAUGACUGCCACGUUCGCCAUUCUCAAGCGUUGCAUAUCUCAGAUGUUUCCACGUGUUGGCCUGACGAAAACGACUUUGUUUAAAUUUCAAAUGCUUCCCGCUUGAAGCUUCGACUCUGUGAAUGCCUAUGUCGAAGAGAGCUUUAUGGAAACCCAAAAAAUCUUCUAAGUCUUAGGCUUCGACAACAAAGAAUUGUUUACCCACGAAAAGAAUUAAACAGCUUCGACACAAUCAUCUUUCAUUUAUUCUCCAAAACGUAACACUUCCAAAGGACUUUAGCUAUCUGUUGAAAUUUCCAGCUAACACUUACAUGAUUAUUUCUUAUGGAUAAGGUUUCAAAAGCAUGGAGGUUCAUGAGAUGUGAACCAAGCAAGGCCUUAAACUAGGGUUUUCUCAUCAAUAUUUUACCAAGCUUAUUCAUCUUUUCAUCUUGUUUUGUUCUUUGAUGGAAUAAUACUUUAGAUUAGGGUUUCAUCCAUUCAAGUUCUAGGCCUAAUCAUAUUCCCUUAGUAUUUUGAAUCUAGUUGUCAUGCAUAUUAUCUUUCCAUUGUGUUUUAGUACUAUCGUUGAAAAGACAAAAAUAUAUGUGAGCAUGUCAUAUUUGGUGUAUAUUCAACUUGAUUUAAUGCUUGAUUUCUUUCUUAUGGGGAUGGACAUGGAUUAUGGUUUUUUUACUUUCCUUCAACAUCAUUAGUUUGUUUCUUUGAUCACCUAGCCAUUAAUUACUUUAGAUUUUCUCAUACUUGUAUCUUUUCUAACUUAGUGCAUUCAUAAUUUUGCAUUGCAUGUAAAAGACAAAAAAUAUGCUUUUAUUUUAUUUUGAUUACAUCAUGAUUUCAAAUUCUAUCUUAGUGUAAUUCAUUUCACCAUAUCAUGUUUUAGUCAUAUUUCGUAAUCCAUUAAAACAACAUGAAUCUCAUGAAAAGCUUGUCUUGAUUUUAUGGUCAUACAUUCAAGAAAACAUUAGGCAUCAGUGUAGCAAACUUCAUGCCAUCAUUAUUGGUGAAUAUCAAAUUUUAGUACAUCACCUUCAUCAUUUCAAUGCAUCAUCACAAAUCAUUCAAGCAUGUUACUAAUUCAUAAUCCAUUCAAAAUCAAAAUUCGAUUCAAGUAUGAUCUAAGAUUGGUUUUGGUGUGGAUUGAACAAGAUCAAUUAUUCUUAACUCAAUUGUCAUGCAAAGUUAAAUCAUUUAAUUUCAAGCAAGCUUUCAUGAAGGCCAUGUUACUUAACCAUGAUUCAUCAUCACCAUUUUGCAUAUUCGGAUUCAAGUCACAACAUGAAACUUCAAAGUAUUAUCAUUAAAAGUUCACCAAAGUUAUCAAUUCGUGCUUCAUGGUCAAACAUCAUCUUAGCAUGUCAAGUACAAGUUUGAACAAGCAUCAAGUCAAAGUUUCAUUACAAAUUCCAAGGUCAGGUCACAAGGAUAAAACUCAAUGAUCAGGAUUCAACAUUGCAAGCAUUGUUCAGAGCAAACUUGGUUUGAGUUCACCAAGUUUUAUUCAAGAUAGAUGCAAGGUCAUUAGAUGAUUAUUGAAAUCCAUUACAAAUCCAAAUCAAAGUCCAAAAUACACUUCCAUAGAAGCAAUUACACAAGCAAAGGAAGGGUGUAAUUACAAGAGUAAAAUCAAAGUGGCAUAAUGGCCCAAAGUGGAUUCAAAAUCAGCAUUCUACAAAGCAAAGUACAAGUUAGCAAAUACAUGCACAAUGAUAUACAUAUUCACUACAAUGAAAGUAAUUUGAGUUUGUUUAUAUAAGCAAAAGAGUGGACCACCAUAUUCACACUAUACUUUUCAAAUCUCCACGAAAUCAAGAGCAUGAGGAUUGCAGAAUUCCAUCCAAAACUGCCAGCUCACAGGUUACGAUUUCAACUCAACAAAUUUCUGAAUUUUCACACGUUUUUGGCAUCUUUUCUCACACAUGUGGAAAACUGAUUUCACACCCCAAAUUUUACCCCUAGAUUUCAUAAUCAUUUUCAUCCUAGAUAUCAUUCAUUCAUAGCUAACCUCAAGAUCAAGAUAUGCCCGGUUUGUUUCAUCUAUGAAUUAUGGUUUCUCUCAAAGAGCACAAAGGAUUGAUCAAAGUUUUUGAUUGAUCAUCAAUAAAUCAAGUUCUCGUACACUCAAGAGAUCACUCUCCAUAAACAAAUAAGUGUAUUAUGGCAUAAUCACAAGUGCAUCAAGCUUCAUUUUCACCUGGUUCACUAAUUAGGGUUUCUCAGCAACAUUCAAUUUCAUCUGAGAAUUUUGAUCAAGACAUGACUUAACACACUAAAGUACAUACUUAGAGCCCAUCCAUGAUGUUCAAUUGGCUCAAGAUUUUGAAUUCAUUGAAGAUCAAGAAAUUCAAAUUCAUCUGAUACACAACCAAUGCACUGUAAAGUCAAACUUUUGAGAUUUAUGACAAAAUAUGAACUUCUCAAGUUAAAUUUCAUGAGUAUAUGUUUAACUGAUGAAUUUGAUUAAUAAAAAUCAAUAUAAAUGAGGUUACUUGCAAUAAAGGCAAUCUUGAAGACAUUGAAAAUUUCACUAAGUAUCCAAAUUUCAUGUUCAAGUGCACUACUUUCUCAAGCCAUAACUUCCAAUCCGAGAAGCCAUUUUCUUUGAUCCAAAGCACAAAUGAAAGCUAUUGUUCCAUAAUUAAACUUUGUCCUAAAGGGUUGAUUCCCUAAAAGUGUAAGGAUUUUGAGUUAUGAGUCCAUAAAGUUGGUGUCUCAAGUUGAAACACUUAGAAAAUUUUCAAGUCAGCUUUGAUCCCUAAAAAGUGAUAAAUUUUACAGCCCAUUUUCAUCAUGAUCCACUUUGAUUCAGAAAAAACUCAAAACAUGAAAGUUGUAGAGCAUGCCUGGGGAUUUUCAAAAAGUACAAGUACAUUUUUUUCCUAUGCAUGAGCUAUGAGUUUCGAAAAUGGGAAGUUAGGGUUCCAAACUUGAAUUUCAAGUCAUGUUCAUGAUGAAUAAAUGGAGGAAAACCAUUUCAAAUGUGAAAAUCUCUUGAUUACAAGUCCUCUUGUGUAUAAAUAUAUCCAUCAUCAGAUGCUUAAAUGAAUCAUAAGUGCAUUACACAAAUAAUUAAGGUUUUGUCCAUUACAUUAUACCAUUUAUGGAUGAAUUUGCAAAAGGUCACAUUACUACUUUGAUAAAGCAAGCUUUAUGACAACAACUCUCUCUUUUACCCUUGAAACUUGUUCCUAAAGAUCACAAAUAAUCUUAAGUGAUCAGAAGCAACCUUGUAGAGGCUAGGGAAACAUGACAAACUCAUUGAAACUCCACAAUUCAUGCAAACUUCUCAUUCAUUCUCAACCAAAACCAUAACUUCACAACUUUUGUUCUAACCAGUUCAAAUCCUCACUUUUUCCCUAUAAGUAGAGGGAUCCCUUAAGCCUCAAAACACACAACAAUUACCCCUCAACACUUCAUCAAACUCCCAUUCCAUUAAAAUUUGCAAAAAUAUACUAUUUUUGCAAGUUCUCUAACCAAGCUUAUUCCUCACGUGUAUCUUCCAAACAAACACCAUAAAUCAUCUCUAGACACCAUUUAGAGCUUGUUUAAUCACUUGAACAAGUUUUGUAGCCUCUUUUAUCAUUCAUAAUUUCACUUCUUCAUUUUACAAGAACAUUUGUGUGAGAUGAUACAAGUUGUUUCUGGUCAUUCUCAUUGUUCAAACAUUAUUCUCAAGGAUCAACAAGGUUAGUAGAAUCUCUCUCUUAUCUCUGUAAUUGCUAAGAAGAAGCAUUGGACUUUCUCCAAUAGGUAAGUGCACUUACACUUGAAACUCUUGUGCGUACAUCAUUCUUAAAUAUUUAUUGAAGUAAAAAUGUAGUGCGUAGUAUGUUCGUUGUAUGUUUACUACUGUAUGCAUUAUACAAUGCUCAUGCAUUGAGAUUUUACUGUUAGAAAAUUAAAAGUGCACUUCUGGUUUUUGCCUUGACACACUUUGUACAUUGAUUUUUAGGAUGAGAUAGUGACACCAUUAGAUUCCUUGUGAAAAAUAGAGAAAUUUAGAUUCUUACGGUUUUUAAUUUUAUGGAAAAUUGAGAGAGUUAUGGUUGUUGGAAGUUUGAGAAAAAAAUUGAAAAGAAAUUGAAUGAAACAUGCAAGAACACGAGGAAGAAGAUGAUGAGUUGGUGUCAUUUUCCAAUUUCUGGAAUCAUUUUAUUAUAUAUAUUAAUGUUUGUAAAUAAAUAAAUGGAUGUAUCACCCAUUUAACGGUUAGAGUGUGUGUGUUAAGGCUUUGUAUGUGUAAGAGGUUUGAGGUUUAAAUCUCCCUCGCCCCAUAUCCAUUUUUAUUCAUUGUUUCUUUGCCUAUUUAUUUUUGUUAUUUUUCAUAACUUAAAAGACUUAUAACUUGAUGAUCCCUAAGCCUUUUUUAGCCACUAUUUUUUCUAUGUGUUCAUAAUUUUGUCUAUUUUAUGAUGGUGAAAAUAAAUUCUAGAAUUAAUUUAUUUUCCAAAUACUUAUACUUGUCUAAAGUUGAUACCUUUUUAGGAUUGUUUUAGAGUUUCAGAUGACCUUCUUUGGUUGAUACUUUAAUUUUUCUUGAUCACCAUGACUUGUAUGAAUGUUGUGCAUCAUAUAUGAACUUUGUUUUAUGUUGUUAAUAUGUGCCUCUUGGUUUUGACCUAAUUUUGACUUACUUUAAUGUAUGUUUACAUGUUUAUGUGCUUUGAACUUUUGUUACUAUGCCAUGAACUUUUGUGUGUUUAUUUUACCAUUGAUCCAUGAUUCACAUUUCAUUCUUUCAUGUCUUGUUGAACCUUUGUGUGCAUGUGUUCCCUUGUGUUUGUCUUUGUUUAUGUGUUUACAAAUGCUUUAAACUUGUAAUAACAUGUCUUUGUAUGACUUGUAUGCUUACUUGUUCAAACUUUUUGUAUGAUAUUGAACCUUUGAUUGUGAUCAUAUUGAACCUUAACAUGCAUGGCUUGAAUACCUUAACUUGUUUUCAUGAUUAAGUUGAUGUUAUGUCUUACUUCAUGCAUAUACAUGUUGAUUCAUAUUUAUUAUGACAUCCAUAUACAUGUUCAUGAAUUGUUAUGUCAUUCAUCUUUGUUUCUUCAUGAUGAUAUAUCCAUGUCAUUCAUAUUCAUGUUAACUUUAUACAUCUUUGAUUGAUGUUGUUGUACUUUGUUCGUGUUCACAUGUUGUACAUAUGUUUUUACAUACCAUGCUUGAUAUUAUUAUGAUCAUGCUUCCAUAUCUUUGUUGAUGUCAUAUAUGAACAUCUUCUUCAUUUGUUUAUCUUUGUUGAUGUCAUGCUUGAACAUCUUCUUUAUCAUGUGCUUAUAUUUGUUGAUGUCAUGCUUGAACAUCUUCUUCAUUUGCUUAUCUUUGUGGAUGUCAUGUUUAAACAUCUUCUUCAUCCUUGUUUGUCCUUGUUGAUGUCAUGCUUGAACAUCUUCUUUACCAUUUGUUUAUCUUUGUUGAUGUCAUGCUUAAACAUCUUUUUUAUCAUGUGCUUAUAUUUGUUGAUGUCAUGCUUGAACAUCUUCUUCAUUUUGCUUAUCUUUUGUUUAUCUUUUUGCCCAAAUCCAAGGGAAAGACCUCUUUAUUGACUUAAUGUCAUAGGUAGUUUAGAAAUCCCUAGUUCCUCUUUGACCUUGUUAGAGUCAUUCUCACUUUCAACUUAGAUUUAAGUAAGAGUUUGUAACUCUUGUAAGUAUGUUUGUUAUGAAAACUUACUUCCCCCUUUGGAACCUUGAUCAUUACCAAGUGUUUUUUCACCCUUAGUUAGGUGAACUACGGUUGCUCUGAUUCCAUCCUUAUAAGGAUACGUAGGCACAUGAUUGCGAAGUUUUGGCGAGCAAACUUAAUAAAACCUUUAGGUCCUUCCCGAUAAAACAUUUCCAAACAAUAGCAAACAAACAAUAGGAUAACACAAACAGUUUCAAAAGGUUCUUAUAGGAUACUAUAGAUACUUAACCUUUCCUUAGUAUAACCCCCCCCCCCCCCCAACUUUAGAUCUCUUCGCAUUGCUUUUACAUUGCACAAUUAGGGUUUUAUUCGAUCUUUUCCCUUUCCCUUGGAUAAAUUAAAGUUCGGUGGUGAACAUUUUAACGUUUUGUGAUUCAAGUUAAUACAAUAGUUUGAUAUCCGAUUCUCACUGCAACAACUGUAUUCAUCUAUAAAUAGAGUACUCUACUCACUCUAUUUCUCAAUCUUUAAGAGGCAAAAAUACGCUGCAAAAUUAAACCCAAAACAGAGCAAUCAGAUUCACUCACACACUCACUUUCACCUCAAAUUUCCUAUCAUAAAUCCUUCCUUAAGCAUCACUAAAGGUGUGAGAAUAGAGACAGGGUGAGCGAGAGAAAUAGAAAUCACCUACCUAAGUGUUUGCAAAUUUGAUCUAUAAUUGGUUUUGAGAGAUUUUUUUUUGUAUUUUUUAUAUCUCUUAUGUUUGUAGUUGGACACACACACACACACACACACACACACACACACACACACAAACCACACACACACACACACACACACACACACACACACACACACACACACACACACACACAUAUAUAUAUAUAUAUCCUGAUAAAUAUUUUUUGAUAAUCUCCUUGAAGCGAGUCAGGUGAGACUGCAAAAGUAAUGAGGAUUUGUUGUUUGGGAGGUUUAUUUUAGAAGAGAGGGAUGACCACCAAUUUUGUGGUCUUCCCAGGUUUUUCUUCUGUAUCUAUGUCUCCCCUUCCAUUGUUGUCAGCCCCAUAUUUAUAUUGUUAUUCUCCUUCUACCAAGAUUCCAGGAGACUCACGAAAUUACAUUUAAUGGACACAAGUAACAGCUUAAUGAUCAUUACUAGAAUAGAAGUUACAUCCGUCCAUUAUUGAUGAAGUUCAUAAUGUUCCAUGAUUUAUUGAAGAAUGUUGCAACAGACAAAUUAUAAUUUCAUAUUCGGUGAAUGACAUUUGGCUAUCUCUUUUAAAAUUCGAGAGAGUGCAUUCAGACUAAGUAAAUCAUCACAGACAUAUCACUAUUUGAGAUAUAAAUACCAUAUAGUCGUUACACCGAUUUGUACUCACCAUCCGAAAACGUGUCUCCGAGAACUCAAUGAUCCGGACUCCUAUUUGUUUCAUAAGUAGCAACCCGGUUAUCAUUAUCUUUUUCAAGUAUUUGACACGUCCGACUUUCACUUCUCGAAACUUUUUUUUUUAGUAUAUGCACAUCAAGUGUGAUCUUUGUGGAAAGGCAGCAACGUAUGGAUGUAUGUGAGCUGAAGGCGGAUAUCUUUUUGAGAAAGUUCCAAUAUUCAUCUUUUAAUAGUGCGUGCUCUCAAGCUUUCUUCCCUUUAUGAGAACUUAAUUCUGAAGGAUCCAUAUGGGCAAGUACAAUUGGUAUUGUUCAUGUCAUAUUAUCUUAUAAUAUUGAAGUUUGAUCACAUACAAAAGCACGACGUACCGUAUAUAUUCUCUUUGCCUUUUAUUAUAUAUUAUUAAUCAUUGCAAAACCUUUUUAUUUUUAAUGUGUAAAUUGUACUCAUCAUGAAUAAUGUUACAUUUUUAUAAGUGGGGAAAAUCAGAUACUAAUAGGUGUACACCAACAUAAGUUAAGUGGAUACGAUGAAUUUAUACGUUUCUAAUUAAUAAAUACGUUCCCUAGCAAUCCAUCUGAAUCAGUCAUAAAGCAUCUUGAGAUUUGGUAAUCUUAAGCUGGAAUUCCAUUUCUAAAAUUAAACAAAAAAAAAAAAAGCCAUAUUGUAACUAUUAUAGAAAAAUAUUAUAUACCCGCUUAUGGCAAGAAUUUGAUUUGGUUCUAAACAUAGACAAAGUCUCGGAAACAAUCCCCUCAGCAAUUUUUAUUCUGCCAUCUCUCAUGUGUAAUGUUGGUCGUUAGAUUUGAUUUUAAUUGUUUAAUCUUUUUUCACUUUUUUCUUCUUUUCCAUGCUAUUAGAUUAAGUUAAUGGGCUAGAUGAAAGCAGAAUGAAAGGCAACAGACACUCCACAUGAGAAGAACCAGAGUCUCACACAUUCAAAACUAAAGUAAUUGUUACAAAAAAAAAAGUAUUAAAAAAUGCAAUAUGUGAGAUGCUUUAAUUUUGUCCUUAAAAAGAUCUAGAAUUAUUGAAGCUAUUCAUAGAUGGUGAAGGAAGAAUUUGUGCACUAAAGCGAAGAUCAAAUUUCUACAAGCUAGACUCAUUGGAACCUAUAGACGAGCACAAGCGAGAAAAGACUUCAGCUAAGUAGUUUCAUGGUAAAGGAAGGAUUUGUGCGCUAAGCGAAGAUGGGUGUUAUGGCUAGCUAGUUAAGGCUAAUUGCAGAGUGAGCUGACAUUGCUUAACAAGGAUGAAAGUAGGCGCGUUAGGCAAGGAUGGAUAGUGUGCCUAGCGAGCCUACCUUUUACAAACCUAUAAAUAGGAGGUCUGGAUUUAAGAGAGUAUAGACAUAGUAGGUUCACCUUGAUCUCCACAUGAGAAUAUGAUAAGAAGAUUAAAGGCAGAAGUGUUGCUCGAGUGAUCGUUGCAGAUGGCCUUCUAAGUUUGUCUUCUCGGGAUUACAUGUACAACUACGACGAGUAAGAAUAUUUAGAAAUCUCUUUAUUGGGGGAGGAUGUAGUCAUUAUAUUCUCAUGUUUAAUCAUGGCCAAUGGUGUUAUAUGUAAUUUCACUUAAACUUUAAUAUUGAUGAUUCCUCAUUCUUAAUGCUUAUUUUGGAUUAGCGACCUAAAAUAUGUUUUUAUGGUACAACUUGACAUAUGAGAGGUGUCGGUCUUUACUAAAUCCAAGUAUAUAUCUAUUUAAUGUUAAUGCCUAGAGAUAUGUUUAGGUUCAAUAUCCACAAUAUGCUGAUAAUUGAUGAUCCAUAUCUUUAUUCAUUGUCGAAUCUUAAUGUUGUUGUACUUAAUAGUGCAAGAGAUUACAUAUUGGGUAAUAUAAUUGAUUUCACGUUGUUGAGUUAGAGAUGAGAUACAUGAAAGCAACAGACUGUGAUAUUAAUAGCUGAGUAGAGGAGCGUAUUAUUGACUAAUAAUUAUGCACGAGUAUAAACGAUGACGAAAUCUACCCCUAGCAAGUUUUCUCAAUGUUAACACCAAAAAUUCCAUUUAUUUUCUGUCAUUUAUUUUUCUGAAACCAAAAAACUCUAAACCCUGACUUAGAAUCAUAAAAUUUGUUGAAUUCAUCUUUAAGCACAAUCAGUCUAUGCAGAUACGAUAAUAUUGUAGUUGUUAUUUGCACUGCUAUAAUUACCAAAAUGAGGUAUUAUCUAACUUAUAAAUGUUAGGUUUCUCGAGUUAUUAAGAGGGGAAAGAAUAGGACAAAAGGUUUAUUUUUUAUUAGGGUGUCUGGCGAGACUUUGAAUCCCACUCUUACGUAUCUCCGGGUGCGAUGGAGAACUCAGGACUACGUAGUUCUGGAUAGAAAAUGUUUCUUUGUUGAUCUAUUUUAGUGAAAGCUACUUCGUGUCAAUCGACAAAAAAAUAUCGCUUGCUACCCAAAACAAGUGGAGAAGGGAACGUUUGCAUCACGGUCGAAUGGAUUUACAAAUCAACAUUCACAGGUAUCAUCGCUAGCUUGCUCACACAUUCAAGUGGACGAAACAUUGUUUUUGCAUCGUCUUGAGACAAAAUACAUUUUGUUUAUAAAAAGGGUUUUGAGGAUCAAUCACACGACGACGAGAAAAGAGUUUGAUUGGUUGAAUGUGCUUUGAGUAAUGGUGAGAACUUGGAUGGACGAGAUAUCCAUCUCGAAUCUUAGUUUCUAGAGCUCGUGGUAUCCACCAUGUUCCUUUUCCAUAUUAUUUGCAAAAGGGUUUGAUAUUUUUAGAUGUUUUGAGGUUUGAUUGAUAAAAGGUUUGAAGUUGCAUGGAAAAGUUUGAAUGAUGGUGAGAACUAGGAUGAGCGAGAUAUCCAUCCCGAAUCUUAGCCUCUAGAGCUCGUGAUAUCCUUCAUGUUCCGUUUCCAUCUUUAUUGAAAAGUGUUUAAUAAGAAUUAAGUGAUUUGAUUUUCAUUGGAAAAAUAGUUUGACGUUGGAUCAAUCAUUUGAUUAACGAUUGCAAAAUGGUUUGACAAAAUGGUCUGAGAGUUUGAGAAGGUUUGAAAGUAGAAUGUUUGAAAAGUUGGGAUGAUAUAAAUGGAUUAAAAAGAAAGGUUUGAAAUGGUUUGACUUUUAAGAAAAAUACUCGAAGUUGAAUCAAGUUUUUAUUUUUGUUCUUUUUCUGAAAAAUGGUUGAUUUUACUCUUGUGUUAGAAACUAUUUAAAUAAUAAAGCAAUAAAAAAUAAAAAGAUAAAAUUAUUACACAUCAUGAGAAUUGGGGUAUAUUUUAUAAAAUAGGGAUAUGAUAAUGAAGUGAUUAAAGCAAACCCAAUCAAGCAAACACAUGCAAAUAAGUGUAUGUGAACAAAAGGAUCUCAUUGUAAGAAGGCACAAGAGCAAGCCAAAAGAUAGGGUAUAGUGACACACAUGACAUAUGCACAACACACGUUCAUUGUUAUUGAAUCGAAAGAAGUAAAGCACAAGUGGAAUGUGUACGGGUCAAGAUCAUGAUGCGAGGAUGUGGAAAGCUAUUGAAAGUAGAAUUCAAGUUCGAUUUAAGCGCAACGGUGUUGGAUCGUUGUAGGUUGUCAUUAAUUAAAGUAAUUGGUAAUGUGAAACGGUCAUCGCAAGUCGAAUCGAGAGGCAACAAAAUAAUCAAAUGAAAGCACAAGUUGCAAAUCAAAAUGUGAAUUGGUUGGUGUACAAAAGCAGAUCGUCGCUAUGAUAAAUCAUCGAGCACACAUAUAAUAUUGAAACGCAACAAAUCAACUAUAGUUCACGCAACGCUAAAAAUAUACUCAAAGUCGGUUUAUACGUACCGACAACAGGCGAAUAUUGCACGCAAAUGUAACCAAACAGGUCAGAAUGCGGCAAAAUUUACAUCCAUGUAUCAAAACUAAAAUCAGCGGUAUAAAAACAUAAAUCUUACUUCAAUGAGAUUUAUAGAGUAACACUAAUUUUGUUAUAUAUGUAAAUAAAUGUUAAGUUUGUUUAUUAUUUUGGUACUUGAUGAAAAUCAUUGAAGUUUAUAUAUAAUAUAUAGUUUUAUUAAAUACACCAUUUUGUACAUAUUUUGGUUCGUAUAUAUAUAAAUAGAUUAUGGUAGAAAAUGUGUAUAAGUAUGAGAAUUAAAAAGAAUGUCGUAUAUAUGAUAAAUUAAAAAAGAAUAUUUAAAAAAUAUUAAAGAAAUUUACCACGGUUGUAUCAAUUCUAAGUAUGGUGAAAUGUGACGCGCUAACUACUUUUUACUCAUGGAUUGGUCAGGAAUCAAAACUAUAACAUAACAACAUUUCAUCAUGGUAUAUAAACCUGAUUGUGGUGUAAUAUGGUGCGCUAACUAGUUUCUCACCACAGCCACUAGUCCAUAGUGAAAAGUAGUGUACUAUUUAUCACACCCUUUGAUACUACAUACUAUCGACCGUAAUGAUUUUUUUUUAAACCAUUGUCAAAUAUUUUGUUGUAGUGGUUGAUGAUAAUAUUUUUUAUUCUACUAAUACCUUGUUUUGUUAAGAAUUUUGUAAGAUAACGUAAUAGGAGUUUAAAAUGGCCAUGGUUAGAGAUUUCGAAUUCUUCUUUGAUAUUCAAAUUUAAAAAGUCUUUAUGGAGUUUAUAUACAUCAAAGUAAAUAUAUAAAGAAACUCUCGAAGAAAUUUAAAUUUGAAGAUUGAAAGCUAAUGCUAGAACCUAUACAUCCUUGAAUCUUGUUAAAAGAUGAGACAAAAAAAUCCUUUCAUUUGAGUAAAAGGUCUCACGUGUGCUAUCUUCGAUUUUGGUAGUAUAUGGUCUAGUUUAUUUGGAAAACCUAUAAAGAUGUUAUUUUUUCUAUAAAAAAUUAACCAAUGCUCUCGACGUAACAUGAUCAUGUACUCUUCGUGGAAUUAGGUUUGUGGUAAUUUGUAGGACGACUCAUGUUUAUCUCUUAAAUGUAAAAUAGGUUUUUUUGAAAAAAAAUUGAAUAAGUAUUACGACGAAAGAUAUGUUCUAGAGGAUAUAAAAUAAAGAAUAGACCAUAUAUUUUGUUUAGUACAUUACAAUGCUUGUCACUCGUGUGUGCCAUACCGGUAGAGUAUGUUUCUCAUUUGUUUAAUUGUAGUGUGACAAAAAAUCGAUGGUAUUUGAUUUUUGGUUGUGUGGGGAGGUAGUUAUUCUUCCAUAAGAUGUUACCCCGCUCUUUGAAAAAAAAACUCUACAUUAGGGGGUUUGGCUAGGUUUUGAGGGGAAUUUAUCAUGAUUUGGCAUUUAGUUAGGUGACUUAUUUGGAAAUGAUAUCACAUUUACAAGUAAACUGAUAAUCGAGGCGGAUGUGAAAGAUAAGAUUAUUUCUCUUGUAUGGAAAUGGUUUUUUGGUAGAUUUCUAAUUUUACUCAUGCACUUUUUUUAACAUGAUUUCUAACAAUAUCCUCUACUUGAGCCAAUAGCGAUUUGAGUGUUUUGGCCUAUUUCUCUUGAGAUUUUGGUUAGUGCUUUUGGAGGAUGUUCAACUGUUGGUGGUCCUUAUAGUUUCAUGACUCUACUAUCAGAUUAUUUUGUUGCUUGUCUUAUUAUUUUUAUCUUUAUUUUAUUUUGAUUCAUUUAGUCUCCUUCAUAAUUGCAUUUCUCGUGUUUAACAUGCAUAAAACUUUUGUUAGAUUUCUUGAUCUAAAUGCUCUUUGAUCAAUAGCAUAUGAUAGUGAAAUGAAAUCACUGUGUUUUUGGACAAACUUUGAUUCAAGGUAAAAUCUCAAAAAGCUUUUGAAAAAUUGAAAAUUUGAAAUUUUGAGAUCUUAAAAGAUUGAUUUGAAUCAUUCAGUUUUACACUGAAUUUUUUAUCCUGAUCAAAUUGGACAGUAGCUCAACUCAGCAACUUGAUCCUUAUUAGAUUUUAUACUUGAUCCUGAUCAUUUUUCUGGGAAUAAAUUUUGUCUGAUUUGAUUCGAAUCAGAACUUGUACAUGAUUUAAAUCAAUUUAAUUUUUCACAAAUCAUGUUUGUUCUGUUUGAUUUGAUUCGAAUCAAACUUUUAACAUAAUCCGAAACUAAUCAUUUUUCACAAAUCAGUCAUGUGUCAUUUGAUCUGAAUAAAAUUUUGUGCUUGAUUUGAAUCAGAAGGCAUUUGAUUCAAAUCAUGUUUCCUCUGAUCUGAAUCAACUGACAUAUUUUUCAAAAAUGAGGCAUUUCUUUCAUUUCACCUCAUUUUUCUCAUUUGAUUCAAACCAUAUUUUUCUUAAUUCGAAUCUAACUACAUUUUUUCAACCAUUUUGUGUGUUUUAUCUCAAGCACAUAUAAAUCAUUUUUGUCAUCAUUCUGCACAUAAAUCUAUCAUUCUGUUAAGAUUUUGUGUGAAAAUCAAUUUUCUCUAUUUUGAAUAUUCAAAGUCUUGCUACGAAUUUCUCACAUCUUCAACUUCAAUUGAGUUCAGAUCUUGACAACUAGAGUUCUGAGAUUGAUUGAAAGAGACACGUACUUGAAACUAACCGUUCUUUGAGAUCUUGUUGUGUUUUCAGGUUGUUAGCAAGAAAGAGGGAUUGUCAUUGGUGGUGACAAAUUUCAUUGAAAAGAAGUAGGUUCUUCUCUCCAGCAUUGCCUUAUUAGUAAUUGUGUGGAAGAUUACAGGUAAGGAGAAGUUCUUCUCGAAUCUUCGAGCAAUAUCAACGUUUAAAGAACCGGUAGGAUUAAGGGGUUGAUAGCUACACGUGAAGGUUUGGAGCAGAAUUAAUGUUAUUGGAAGGUUCAAGAAACAUAUUCAAAUAAAGAUUAAUUACGUAGAAGAGUUUGGCAAGAUUAUUGUAUAAAAGUCAAUAUCCAAAUUAGGAGAUUUAUUUUCUUAACUAUAAUUGUGGAUUGGUGAUUGUAUGAACUCUUAGAAAUAUUUGUCAAAUAACAAGGAACUAUGCAUGUUCCAAUAGCAACUUAUCGUCACUCUUAAAGUAAAUUUUGGAUUUUAUAAUGAUUUAGUUGUCAUACUACCUGUGAAACACGCACACAUUGACAUUGUUUAUGAUGUAUGUUUGUGUCUGACACGUGUCAGUGUUUGACACACAACAGAAAUUGAUACGAAAGAUGUUAGAUUUUUUGUAGGUGUCGUGAAAAAAUAAUAAUUUGACAUGGGAAGACACGGGAAAGACACGACAAAUCUCAAAUAAUUUCUUCAACAAAUCCAAAAUUUCCAAAAAUAAGAGCUUAUCUAAAAUAUUAAAAAAUAUUCUAAUAUUUAAAUAAAAUCAAAUCAAAUAUUUGAACGUUAAUAUUAUAUAACUGAUGUAUAUUAGAUUACAACAAUUUCAAAACCAAACUCUUAUAUGCUUUUAAACUUAUUUCCACUAUUGCGUCAACAAUUUCAAAACCAUGUUCAUUUUAGACAAAUACAAUACAAACAAAAUCACCUUUUUUUUUCCUUUUUGGGAAAAUCCAUCUUGAAGUGGCCAGGUUAGUGACAAGUUAAAUAUUUAAACUCUGAACAAUCAAACAUCGACUUGGAUUUUGACUUGGAUAUGUUCUCUUUCUAGUUUUGUCCCCUUGAGGCACUUAAGGCUUCACCUUUAUCAUCAACCUUCAAAUAUUUCUAUUUUGAUAAUUCUUUUGAUCUUACUGUUAAUUAGACUUCACCCGGAGUAAUAGCAUAUUUCUUAUAAUAAAUAAGGGGUUUCGUAAAGUGCUCGGAGGAUCUGGAUAAUGAGCUUAAUAAGAAUAGUGCUUUGCACACAUCUUAAAUAUUCAUCUCAAUAUUUUGUAAAUUAUCAAUGAUCUUGAGGCAUUUAAGCCUUCUCCAUUAUCGUCAACCUUUAAAUAUUUUAACUUUGAUAACUCCUUUAAUCUUAAUGCAAUUGGACUUCAUCCAAAGUGAUAACACCUUUUUUGCCAUAAACAAGGGCUUCUUUUUAAAUUUCUCAAAGGAUCUGCGUAAUGAGUUUAACAAGAAUUAAUUGUUGUUCAUAUCUUAAAUUUUCACCUCAAUAUUUUGUAAAUCAUCAAUGAUCUUGUAAAAUUCUUCCCGGUUCCCAACAAUGAUUUACUCCCCACCAUAUAGAAAGAAUAAAAUUGGUGUUUGAGACACAAUGUAUGAGUCAAUGACUUGGUCACAUAUAAUUAUUCAAGCUUGACCCACAUCCCAACUGCAAUCUUCUCCUUCACGACUUCCCUUAAUACUUUAUAUAUGAGGCACAAGAUAAUGACAUGUGUUGCCUUUUCUAACAUCUUGGUAUUUUCAUAAUUAUAAGGCUUGCAAACAUUAAUCCCUUUGUUGACCUUUAAUGCUUCUACACACCCUUGUUAAUUAAUAUUACUUGCAUCUUCACCUUCGAAGUCGUUGUCUCGAGAAAACUCAUCGAUGUAUCAUUUGGAAUCUAUGGUGCUUACUUAUAAACCUAACCUCUUUGCUCAAUGGUGGACUCCAUUUGUUGAGAGAAUAAGUACAAAUGAUUUACACGUAUUAAGAUUUUGAUAUAUGAGACAAAGAACAAUAACAUCCACUAAGUGACUUCAAACAACAACAAAAAUAAAUAAUAGGCAGGGUCAGCCCUGAGCUAAUUCGAGGAGUGCGAAAGUCUAGGGCACAAGAUUUUAAGGGUCAAAUAUUUUUUAAUAGUCACAGAGUAUUAUAAAAAAAAUUAUACACAUAUCAUGCCCAUUUUUUAUAUGAGAUUAAUUACUAUACACUGUCAAUGUAAAAAGUUUUACACCGUCGAUUCAUCACCAUCAUCCGUUUGUAUUACUUUAUAGAUUUUUAAAAUAAAAAUCAAACUUCUUUUAAUAUCCUACGUCUAUUUUUAACUGUCAAUGUAUUUCAAUUAAACUAUUUUUAUAUUCUUAUUAUUUUUAAAAAUUUAUACAAUUGCUAAGUUCAAAUUUUUAUAUGUGUCACUUCACUUUAUUUUAUUCCAACAUUUAAUUUCAAUUUCAAUCAUUAUUAGAAAGUUCGCUUUUAAUGACCGAAAUAGAAGUCGGAAAAACUUAAAAAUCGAUCGUUGUUACAUUUAUAUAAAAAUAUUUUUCGAGACCCAAUAGGCCAUCACAAAAUUUUAAUUGUUAAAUCGAUGACUGAUUUUUAUUUUGUGACUGAUAUAAUGACCUCUAAAAUUUUAGUCAUGGAUAUCAAAUUUUGGUGGUCGAUGGUUACGGUGGCCGAAAUUUUUGGUCAAUAAAAUAGUCACUAAAAGGAUUUUUUUUUAGUACUGAAUAUAAUUUGUAUCAUCCGUCCAUCUAACCAUGCUUGCAUCCCUCUCUGUUAGGAAACGCAAAUCAAUUUGCAUUGAUAGAUAAAAAAUUUGUUAGAAAUUCAAUCAUUAAGAUCAUUAAAUAGGUAAAAAGAAAUUGAUGAUUCUUGAUUAUAAACAUGAUAUGAGUCAUCAUGAACCAAUAACUCUUAUAAUUCGUUCAGUGAAUAUGUUAACUAUAAAAAUUAAGUUUGAUUAGUUAUUUUUAUAUUUUUAAAAGUGAUGAUACAUUUAGGUUAGAACUUUUUGAUGAAUUAUUAAAUAUUUUUAAAACUCUUGAUUUUAAUAUUGAUUGAUUGAUAGGGAAAAUUUAUGAUAAUGUUUCAAAUAUGAAAGACAAUCAUCAAGAUGUUUAAAAGCGAUUUCUCGAGAUUAAUCUUAAAGAGUUAUACAUUCUAGUGUUAACGAUAUUUCAUCUUUGGAGUUAUUCAAAACUUAUAUUAAUUAUUUUCAAGAUCUAUAAAAAGAUGAUUUUUUUUUAAUAAUAUUCUUAGUUUAACUAUGAAAUAUUUAUCAAAUACUCAUUGAGAAUGUCAAUUAAGAGUGUUAAAUAUCUCCAAAUAAGAUUGACUUUGUUGCAAUUAUAUGAAUGUUGUGAUAAUGAUGCAAAGACAAUGAGUGAUGUGGAGAGUUUUUGUAAUCCACUAUAAAGUUUUGAAUUUCCACUUGAUAUGCAUGGUUAUUUGGUAUAUGGUCAUCUAAAAGUUGUAAUUUAUGUCUAUGUGUACCGACGCUGCCAUAAAACAAAUGAAAUGUGUAUUACCAUAUUUUGAAAAAUAUCGAGAGAAAGAUUUUACAAAAAGUAUGAGGCUUGUAAAAAGUGUUGCACUUGAAAUGAAUGUUGAGCUCAUCUUUUCCAACAAAACAUGUGAUUAGAAAGAAAAAAAACGAUUUAUGAGAGAAAAAUUAAGAACAUGAAAAUCACUAACCACAAUAACCAUUUAAAAUUGACUAUUUUCUUAUUAUCGUUGAUAUGACAAUUACUUCUUCGAAUAAUAUAUUUGAGGAAUUGAAGACAUUUGAAAUAUUUUUGAAUUUUUAUAGGAUUCACAAAAGUUAUUGAAUGAUAAUGAAUUGAAAGAAUGUUGCGUCAAAUUUCACUAAAAUGUUUUUACAUAUUGUUAUUCAAAUGUAUCAAUUGCUUAUAGAAUUUUACUAAUAUCACCAAUGUUCUAAGAGAGAUUUAAUGGUUUGACAACUCUAUCGAUUGAAAAAGAUACAUUGGAAAACUGACGUGAUUAUAAAUGAUUUUGCAUACCAAAAUGUUUGAAAAAACCACUUAUGAAAUUCUGAAUAUAUUAAAGCGAAACGAAUUAUUUUUCUUAGAUUUCCCCUAGAGACCAAAAAAUAUCGCCAACAAGGCUGAUAAUAGGUGAGAACAAGUGAAAUAAUUUAUCUAAUUUGAUUAAAUAUUUGCGUGAGUGAGCAACUCUCUAUUUUACGAUAUUUCAAAAAUGGUCGUAAGAUUUCACAAUAUAAAUUAUAAUAAUUUUUACUAAAGUAUUUCUCAAUCCCUUUAAUUUUCAAUAUAAAAAUCCUAUAAAUGAAAUAUGUUUACGGUUUCCUCUCAAAUGUCUUUGACAACUCAAAAAAACUACCAAACUCCAAGAAUUAAAUUUUAGAAAUUUCUCCCACGAGGAUUUUUAUUUUAUGCAUGUUCUCAAUGUUUUAAUAAAUGAAAACAAAAUCAUAUUUAUAUUUAUAAUGGUCAAAUUCUUAAAGGAUCCAAUAUAUGAUUAUUAACCUAUACUCUAUCGAUUUUACAAUAGGUAUUCUUUUUUUAUUAUUAUUAUUUGUCUUAAAUUAUUUGUCCCUUUAAAAUAUAAAUGUGAUAUUUAUUAUUAUUUUUUUAUUAAUUUACUUUUAUUUAUUAUAUUUUAAUCAUGUAAAUAUUUUAUUAUCUAUUAUAAUAAAAAUAUUUCAAUAAAUAAUAUUUAUUUUAUCAUUAAAAUUACCACAAUUAAUUAUUAUCUUAAAAAAUAUAAAUAUGAGAUAAUAUAUUGUUUUCUUCUCACAUUUCUCAAUUGAGAUUUUAAAAUAUAUCAAUAUCACUUCAAUUAUGUUGAAAGAGUCUAGUCGUUCCUAAAGAACACGACUUCUACCAUUAAUGUUGUUUAAUUUCAAUUGUAUUCAUAAAAUUGUAUGUUAGGUUUCUUUAAUUAUUUUAUUAACAUAAGUCGUGAGAGGGAACUUUUAUUUACGUAGUUAAUUUCAUAAUAUAAAUAAAGUUUAAAAAUAGUAUAUUAUUGAUGAAAUGAAAAUAUCUAAUUAAAAUAUUUUAUAUGGUUAGAUCAUAUCAUUAUUUUAAAAAUAAAAAUAUGAUGUAGUGGAAUACACGUUUCACAUUGAUUGACAUUGUAAUAAAAAUAUUUUAUACUAUCGAUGUAUAUUUCUUUUUCAUAUAAAUAUAAAAUUCCAAAUAUUUAUUUUCAUUUAUAUUUUUUUGUUAUAGUAAUUUAAAAGAUUUUAAAUAUAUAUUCCUUCCACUUUUUUACAUAUUUUAAUUAUAACCAUAUUUUUAGUUUUUAAGUAGAUUGAAUAAUUAAAGUAGAUUGUCCUAACUAUGUAGUAAUAAUUACUUGUUUAUGUCAUCUAAAACAAAACAGGGUAACAACACUUGGAUAUUAUAAUACAUUUAUUUUAAGAUUGACAUAUAUGCUUUAAGCUUGAAGAAAUACAAAAUAAAGUGUAAUAGUAAUCAUAUGAGUAACAACAUUAUGACAUGCAAAUAAAACUACUGCCUUAAAAAUAUUAUAAAAUUCUCAUGUGCAAACACAUUCAUUCCAAAAGCACUUCCAGACAUGAGGAAGACCACAAAUAUCAACAGGACAAUCAUAAUCAUUUAUACAAAACCAAGGAUCAUCUGUAGUAGAAAACAAGAAUAAGUAAGUGUAAUUUAUAAUUAUGAGAAUUACGUAUAGACAAAAAUUUGAAAGAUGAGAAAAAGGGCUUACUAUACGCUUGAGUGACAACAAGUAAUAUAGAAACUAACAGGAUCACAACAUAGACAAACUUGAAAACUUCAGCCAUAUAUUUCCACCUUUUUGUGAAAAGAAGAAAAGAAAAAGAACUCUGAUCACUUUAGGAUGUUAGUGUAUGAAUAAAUUGUUUUAGCACUUAUAGAAUUACAAAAACACUUUCAUAAAAUAGAAUAAUUAUU
RNAcentral lists this long non-coding RNA (40016 nucleotides) under Lathyrus oleraceus (garden pea). Its description in RNAcentral is "Pisum sativum (pea) long non-coding RNA (PSAT_LNC000259)". Lineage: Eukaryota; Viridiplantae; Streptophyta; Magnoliopsida; Fabales; Fabaceae. The record is from RNAcentral.